This 73-nucleotide transfer RNA is filed under the name Ovis aries (sheep). It matches the Rfam family "tRNA". From Rfam's summary of the family: Transfer RNA (tRNA) molecules are approximately 80 nucleotides in length. Their secondary structure includes four short double-helical elements and three loops (D, anti-codon, and T loops). The record is from Rfam by way of RNAcentral. Lineage: Eukaryota; Metazoa; Chordata; Mammalia; Artiodactyla; Bovidae.
UCUUUGAUGGUCCAAUGGUUAGGACUCCACACUUUCACUGCCAGUGGCCCAGGUUCAACUCCCGGUAGGGGAA